GAUGAACGCUGGCGGCGUGCCUAAUACAUGCAAGUCGAGCGAACAGACGAGGAGCUUACUCCUCUGACGUUAGCGGCGGACGGGUGAGUAACACGUGGAUAACCUACCUAUAAGACUGGGAUAACUUCGGGAAACCGGAGCUAAUACCGGAUAACAUGUUGAACCGCAUGGUUCAACAGUGAAAGACGGUCUUGCUGUCACUUAUAGAUGGAUCCGCGUCGCAUUAGCUAGUUGGUAAGGUAACGGCUUACCAAGGCAACGAUGCGUAGCCGACCUGAGAGGGUGAUCGGCCACACUGGAACUGAGACACGGUCCAGACUCCUACGGGAGGCAGCAGUAGGGAAUCUUCCGCAUUGGGCGAAAGCCUGACGGAGCAACGCCGCGUGAGUGAAGAAGGUCUUCGGAUCGUAAAACUCUGUUAUUAGGGAAGAACAAAUGUGUAAGUAACUAUGCACGUCUUGACGGUACCUAAUCAGAAAGCCACGGCUAACUACGUG
This 497-nucleotide ribosomal RNA is filed under the name uncultured bacterium. RNAcentral describes it as "partial 16S ribosomal RNA". It matches the Rfam family "Bacterial small subunit ribosomal RNA", at positions 28 to 507 of the family's 1533-position model. The record is from RNAcentral.